GACGAACGCUGGCGGCGUGCUUAACACAUGCAAGUCGAACGGAAAGGCCCUGCUUUUGUGGGGUGCUCGAGGGGCGAACGGGUGAGUAACACGUGAGUAACCUGCCCUUGACUUUGGGAUAACUUCAGGAAACUGGGGCUAAUACCGGAUAGGAGCUCCUGCUGCAUGGUGGGGGUUGGAAAGUUUCGGCGGUUGGGGAUGGACUCGCGGCUUAUCAGCUUGUUGGUGGGGUAGUGGCUUACCAAGGCUUUGACGGGUAGCCGGCCUGAGAGGGUGACCGGCCACAUUGGGACUGAGAUACGGCCCAGACUCCUACGGGAGGCAGCAGUGGGGAAUAUUGCACAAUGGGCGGAAGCCUGAUGCAGCAACGCCGCGUGCGGGAUGACGGCCUUCGGGUUGUAAACCGCUUUCGCCUGUGACGAAGCGUGAGUGACGGUAAUGGGUAAAGAAGCACCGGCUAACUACGUG
This 468-nucleotide ribosomal RNA is filed under the name uncultured bacterium. Its description in RNAcentral is "partial 16S ribosomal RNA". It matches the Rfam family "Bacterial small subunit ribosomal RNA", at positions 28 to 507 of the family's 1533-position model. The record is from RNAcentral.